Molecule: ribosomal RNA, 253 nt
Filed under: uncultured bacterium
Lineage: Bacteria
Description: partial 16S ribosomal RNA
Rfam family: Bacterial small subunit ribosomal RNA
Source: RNAcentral
GACAGAGGGUGCAAACGUUGUUCGGAAUUACUGGGCGUAAAGCGCGUGUAGGCGGCCCUGCAAGUCGGGUGUGAAAUCCCAUGGCUCAACCAUGGAAGUGCACUCGAAACUGCAGGGCUAGAGUCCUGGAGAGGAAGGUGGAAUGCUUGGUGUAGAGGUGAAAUGCGCAGAUAUCAGGAGGAACACCAGCGGCGAAGGCGGCGCUCUGGGCCGGAACUGACGCUGAGGAGCGAAAGCGUGGGUAGCGAACAGG